RNAcentral lists this ribosomal RNA (763 nucleotides) under uncultured Streptococcus sp. Its description in RNAcentral is "bacterial SSU rRNA". It matches the Rfam family "Bacterial small subunit ribosomal RNA", at positions 28 to 776 of the family's 1533-position model. Lineage: Bacteria; Bacillati; Bacillota; Bacilli; Lactobacillales; Streptococcaceae. The record is from RNAcentral.
GACGAACGCNNGCGNCGUGCCUAAUACAUGCAAGUAGAACGCUGAAGGAGGAGCUUGCUUCUCUGGAUGAGUUGCGAACGGGUGAGUAACACGUAGGUAACCUGCNUGGUAGCGGGGGAUAACUAUUGGAAACGAUAGCUAAUACCGCAUAAGAGUAGAUGUUGCAUGACAUUUGCUUAAAAGGUGCAAUUGCAUCACUACCAGAUGGACNUGCGUUGUAUUAGCUAGUUGGUGAGGUAACGGCUCACCAAGGCAACGAUACAUAGCCGACCUGAGAGGGUGAUCGGCCACACUGGGACUGAGACACGGCCCAGACUCCUACGGGAGGCAGCAGUAGGGAAUCUUCGGCAAUGGACGGAAGUCUGACCGAGCAACGCCGCGUGAGUGAAGAAGGUUUUCGGAUCGUAAAGCUCUGUUGUAAGAGAAGAACGAGUGUGAGAGUGGAAAGUUCACACUGUGACGGUAUCUUACCAGAAAGGGACGGCUAANUACGUGCCAGCAGCCGCGGUAAUACGUAGGUCCCCAGCGUUGUCCGGAUUUAUUGGGCGUAAAGCGAGCGCAGGCGGUUAGAUAAGUCUGAAGUUAAAGGCUGUGGCUUAACCAUAGUACGCUUUGGAAACUGUUUAACUUGAGUGCAAGAGGGGAGAGUGGAAUUCCAUGUGUAGCGGUGAAAUGCGUAGAUAUAUGGAGGAACACCGGUGGCGAAAGCGGCUCUCUGGCUUGUAACUGACGCUGAGGCUCGAAAGCGUGGGGAGCAAACAGG